GAUGAACGCUGGCGGCGUGCCUAAUACAUGCAAGUCGAGCGAACGGACGAGAAGCUUGCUUCUCUGAUGUUAGCGGCGGACGGGUGAGUAACACGUGGAUAACCUACCUAUAAGACUGGGAUAACUUCGGGAAACCGGAGCUAAUACCGGAUGAUAUUUUGAACCGCAUGGUUCAAAAGUGAAAGACGGUCUUGCUGUCACUUAUAGAUGGAUCCGCGCUGCAUUAGCUAGUUGGUAAGGUAACGGCUUACCAAGGCAACGAUGCAUAGCCGACCUGAGAGGGCGAUCGGCCACACUGGAACUGAGACACGGUCCAGACUCCUACGGGAGGCAGCAGUAGGGAAUCUUCCGCAAUGGGCGAAAGCCUGACGGAGCAACGCCGCGUGAGUGAUGAAGGUCUUCGGAUCGUAAAACUCUGUUAUUAGGGAAGAACAUAUGUGUAAGUAACUGUGCACAUCUUGACGGUACCUAAUCAGAAAGCCACGGCUAACUACG
RNAcentral lists this ribosomal RNA (495 nucleotides) under uncultured bacterium. RNAcentral's name for it is "partial 16S ribosomal RNA". It matches the Rfam family "Bacterial small subunit ribosomal RNA", at positions 28 to 505 of the family's 1533-position model. The record is from RNAcentral.